This 5784-nucleotide long non-coding RNA is filed under the name Sus scrofa (pig). Its description in RNAcentral is "lncRNA (ENSSSCG00045025933.1)". The record is from RNAcentral. Lineage: Eukaryota; Metazoa; Chordata; Mammalia; Artiodactyla; Suidae.
ACUGAGUCGGACGAGCCCGGCUAGUGGCGGCAUCAGAGGCCGAGUGGGCCUCGGCCUCAGGGUCCUGCAGAGUCUAUCUACACUAUGAAAAGAUGGGAAAUUUCUUCCUGAAAGUGUCUGAAGGGCUAAAAAUGCUGAUAUAUUUGUGCUGUUAAACGUUUCAUUUUGCAUGUUAUUGUGAAAACAAAAGUAACGAAUUACUGGGUCGGUAGAGCUAUGCACUUCACCUGUUAGGAGUUAAAAUUAUUGCUGAUAAAUGGAUUAUAUCAAAGAAAGGCUAGGCAGAGUGAUUACAAAAGACAAAAACAUGGUAGAAACAUCACCCAGAUGUAUGCAGAUGACAAUUACAAAAAGAGUUUUAUGAAGAAUGAUCUUAUAUAUGUCAUGCUGCAGAUAAAUCAGAUGAGUAGGUUUGUUUCUUUUCUUUUCUUUUUUUUUUUUUUUUUUUUGCUUUUUAGGGCCACACCCACAGCACAUGUCAGUUCUCAGGCUAGGGGUUUAGAGCUGUAGCUGCUGGCCUACAUCACCUCUGGGACAUAAACUGCAGUUCACGGCAACACCCGAUAACUGACUUACUGAGCAAGGCCAGGGAUUGAACCCGCAUCCUCAUGGUUACUAGUCGGAUUUGUUUCUGCUGUGCCACGACAGGAACUCCAGGUCUGUUUUUUGUUUGUUUUUUGCUUUUUAGGGCCAUACCCGUGGCAUAUGGAGGUUCCCAGGCUAGGGGUCGAAUCAGAGCUACACCUGCCAGCCUACACCACAGCCAUUCCAGAUCCCAGCCAAGUCUGCAACAUACACCAUAGCUCAAGGCAACGCUGGAUCCUUAACCCACUUAGCGAGAAGUCCAGGGAUCAAACCCGCAACCUCAUGGUUCCUAGUCGGAUUUGUUUCCAGUGUGCCACGAUGGGAACUCCUGUUUCAUUUUUAAACAAAGGUAAUAUGUAUUAGUCUCACUUGUCCAUGAAUACAAUAAUGAGAAAGGCUCAUGAAAUUAUUUGUUAUCCAGAAAUAACCUUUGCAAGUAAUGUUGGUAAGUAUAGGAAAAGGAAAAAAUCUUUACCAUUUUCUUUCUCAUCUUCAGUAUAACUGUGGUAUUUUAAGCUUAAUAGAGAUAAACUGAACAGAUUUACAUUUAGACUUAGUUUCACAUUCUUACAGAUUAUUUUUAGGGCUUGGUGAAUCAGGAGUGUUUUUAUGUCUUAGACAAACUUUAUUUUGUAAGAUACUUCUUUAUAUAAGCAAUAACCUCAAUUUGAGUUACUGUGGAAGACAAAUUUGUGAAGGAAAUGGAACCCAGCAGAUUUCUCAGAAAUAGUAUAUGUGAGAAACGCGACUUGUAUAAUGCAGUGAUUUCUUUAAUUCGUCAUAUGUUUGGGUAAUUAGAAAUUUUUCCAGCCUUAUAGUCAUUGAACAUCUAACCAUAAAGAAAUGAGACAAAUCUAGUUAAUAGCCCUAAAAACAACCCCAUGACUCUUAGGAAAAAAGAAUCCUGGCACUCCAUAGCAAUUUUAUUUACAACACUAGUAUUCGAGAAGUUGGUGAUGCCAGCUUCUGAAAGAAUAACCUCAGUGUCCUGGAGAAAACUUGGAUUAGGAAAAGUGAAAUUAGAAAUGCCUUCAGUAGAUAAAGAAACCUACCUUCUUUCUACCUCUCAAAAUUUGAUUUGUAUUAUAAAUAGCUUGUUAAAAGAGUAUUGAGUUACUUCUGUUACAGCAAGGGUUUUUGCAACGGGGCUAAGUGUCUGGAUUGCCUAUAGAACUCUAGAAGUGUUUAGCUUAUUGCCCACGCAUCCUAGCUGAAUUAUUCUCCAGGGUUGUAACCAGCUGUUGUGUAUUUUUAAAAUACUGUAGGUGAGUGUACAGAGGUAGAGUAGAGCAGCCCUCCACAUCCCGUAUUUUUUGUGGUGUGUCACACAAUAACAAAAGUUUUAGCAAAUAUUUUAUUACUAAUUGUACUCAUAAAUGUACUUUGAAGAUGUAUAGAUGACCUAAGGAUCAAUUUAUACAUGGUAGUUCCUGGAGAAGAUGGUAGCUUCCUGGAGAUUUCUUAGAGUGAAGGUUUAGUCUAAUACUAAGAAAGUCUGAUCAUAAGAGACACUUGGUCAGUAAGAGUGCAAAGCUGUGACAGUUAUGGUAAAGUAACAGAUAUUUAAAAGAAACAAGUAUCUGGACAUGAGAAUUUUCUGAAAAUAAUUUUGCUUUAGUAACUCCUUGCCCUAAACCCUGAUUUUUAAAAACUUAUUGAUGUUAUUGUAGUAUUUGUGGUGUUUGGGUGCAUGAUAUAUAAUAAUAUGAGUGUCCUUUUUUUAGCUCCAGAUAUUUUGACUCAGUUACUAAAUUUGUGAUCUUUAUAUUCAAAAUUCUUAGCAGUCUUUCAUCCAUAACUGCUGAAGAAUAAAAACAUGAGAAAGAGAGCAACUAUAUAAAAAUUUUAAAGCAGCCCCAAGAAUCCAACCCUUAAUGAAUCCUCCUCCUUUAGAGGAGGAAGGUCCUCUUGGAAAUGGUUAUGUAAAGCUGACUUUAGUGUCUUAAACCAUAUUAGUGGCCUCUGGAUUCCUGCUGUUUCAGUUUCAAAUCUAUAUUAAAUGGCUUGCUAGUUUUUUACAGAAAUUAGUAACAUUUUAAGCUUCAGUGGUAGUAGCAGCCUCUUGGUGAGGAUUAAACAGAGUUAUGCGAAGCAUCUAGUAGAGGACCUUGGACCUUGGAACUUGUAAGUUUGUUGUGGAUUUUUUUAAGUUUUUAAAAAGUUGUCUCGAGUACUUAGGACAUAAAGACAGGGAUUACCUCAGAUGAACUCUUAGUGAGUUAUUGGUAAGUCAUACUUCAAUGACCGAAUUCUUAGUAGAAUACAUUUCCAGUUUUUUCCUCUGAUAAAGUGAUACAGGGCAGCAGGGGUUUUUUUUAACCCAUACCACAUAAGGAAUGUAAAAUUCCUGUUACUGAGAUCAUCUUAGGGCCUGGGGUGGCUGAAGUGGAAAAAAUUACAUAACAAUAAAAUUUUGCUUGUGUACCUGUGUAGUUCAAAAAAGGCCCACAAUUGAUUAUGAAAAUUAGACCCUGUCUCCCUUCAUUAAGAAUCACUAUAAAUUCUCCAAAAGAUGAUAUUUAGAGUUCCCGUUAUGGCUUAGCAAGUUAAGGACCCGUUGUCUCUGUGAGGUUGUCGGUUGCUUCAUAACCUCAUUCACUUGGGUAAGGAUCUAGCAUUGCCACAAGCUACAACUUAGAUCACAGAUUCAGCUAUGUCACAAGCCCCAGCUGCAGCUCUGAUUUGACCCCUAGCCUAGGAACUUCCAUAUGCCACAGGUGUGGCGGUAAAAAGAAUAAAUAAAUAAGAUGAUAUUCUAAAUCAUAAAAAAAAUGUUAGAAUUGUUUCAUGCCUCAAAAAGUUCUAAAAUAAUGCUUUUAUAUUUCAGGCUAUUCAAUGCAAGAGAACUAUUAGUUAUCUGCCUUUCUGUAUCUCUUCCCAGAUCAAAUCAAUUUUCUUAACAUUCUCAGAAAUGAAAGGUGAUGUAAACCCAGCAGUUAAAGUAAAAAUUAUUUUAACCUGAUCACAGAAUUGAGUUAAGAUAACCAAACUUAAGGGAGAAAAUGAAGAACAUUUUAACAAAAGUUCUCAUUAUAUCGUAACCUUAUGGGAGUUCCUGUUGUGGCUCAGCGGAAACAAAUCUGACUAGCAUCCAUGAGGACGCAGGUUUGAUCCCUGGCCUCACUUAGUGGGUUAAGGAUCCAGUGUUGCGGUGAGUUGCAGUGAGCUGUGGUGUAGGUUGCAAACAUGGCUUAGAUCUGGCGUGGCUGUGGCUGUGGCGUAGGCCAGCAGCUACAGCUCCAAUUAAACCCCUGAGCUGGGAACCUCCAUAUGCCUUGGUUGUGGCCCUAAAAAGACAAAAAAACCAACAUGUAUAUGUAUUAUAACCUUAUAUUGAGUUAAGUUCUGCUAUGGUGUAUAUUUCUGGAGGGUUUUUUGUUUUGUUUUGGCCCUUGCCUGGGACAUGUGGAAGUUCCUGGGCUAGGGAUCUCAGCAGUGACAUCCUGGAGUCCUUACCCUGCUGUGCCACAGGGAAACUCCUAUAGUAUGUAUUUCUAAAGUGGACACAGAUGAGCAUGCCAAACAAUCAGCAGUUGGAGUUUCUCCAGAGAAUACCUUUAACUCAUUCUGAAAACUAUAAUAUUUCAUAUUUUGAACAGUUUACUUUGUGUUAACGAUAUUCAGAAAACUAAUACUUGUUUUCUAAUCUUGUUUUAGUUGACCCACUGUUGUGUUUGUAAGAAGUUGACAUAAUUUUAGCUCCUGGAUUUAGUUGCUGCAAAAGGUAAAUGCAGUAAAUAUCCCAAGGUCAAGAUGUAAAAUCGAAAUGUCAGUAGCUAAUGAUUAAUCAGAAAAGUGAGCCCUCCUACAGUUUUUCUCAGUUUUUAAUGGGUUUGGAUAAAGCGGCACUGGAAAUCAUUUCAAGAACAAGUAUAUAAAUUUAGUCCAAUAUAAAUAUGUUCGUGAAUAUAGCCACUCAUGGAAACUACAGAGAUACACAAUUGUAAGCAGUUAUGUAAGUAGGUACUAUUCGUAAUUAAUAUGAUAUGGACUCUGAUGAUGCCCUAUGUUUUUGAACUUGCUGUAAAGGUGAAUCCUCAGUUCUGUCUUAAACACUUUAGGAAAUGCUCAUCAGUCACCCUCCUCACCCUUAACUCACGAUUUGAUGAAUUUGGCACAUAAGUGGUUACAAAUGGAAUAGCCUAGGGACUUGUUUUGAGCAACUCCACCACCAGAAGGUAAAACUCAGGAACCAUAAUCCUUGACAUAACCUAACCUAUUUUUUUCUUCACUUUGAGCCAAAGAAAAACUCAGCUUUACUCCUUCUUUACCCUGCAUUACCAGACUUAACCAUUAAUGUUGUAUUACAUUGGAUCUUUCAUAGUUUCUUAGCAAUUGUCCCCAAAGUUUAUUUUUUUGGCUUUGCCCACAGCAUACAGAAGUUCAUGGGCCAGGGACUGAACCCACGCCACAGCUGCAGCCAGUGCCACAUCAGUGACAACACAGGAUCUUUUCCCAGCUAGGCCACCAGGGAACUGCAAUAAAAACUUAUUUUAAGUUUUAAACAUGCUAAAAUAAAGCAGUUGCUUAAAGGGUAACAUACAAAAGUAUAUCUUAGCUAUGGGCAUGGCCCCAAAAAAAAGGUUUGGCUCUGAAAGAGGUGAGAAAUAAUAGUUUACAGAGGGCAUGUGGCAUCGAAAAAAUUUUAUAUUUAAAUCUUCUCCUUCCAGAUCAAAGUCAGGUUCUACUUCAGGACAUUCUUAUCAUUUCCCAGAGGAAUUAGGACUUAAAAUUUUACUUUGGCUUGAAGUCAAGUCAGGGGAAGAUAUGGAAGAUUUCUGAAGUACUUUUGUGGUUUUUUUCUCCAUGACACUCAGUGCUUUUCAUUUGAUUUAUUUUUUCCUUCCCAGUUUUCAAUUCUUUGUAAAUCUUUCAUUUAACCAAAUUUGUACUCUUAAGAAUAGUGGUUUUUGGAGUUCCUGUCGUGGCGCAGUGGUUAACGAAUCCGACUAGGAACCAUGAGGUUGCGGGUUCGGUCCCUGCCCUUGCUCAGUGGGUUAACGAUCCGGCGUUGCCGUGAGCUGUGGUGUAGGUUGCAGACGCGGCUCGGAUCCCGCGUUGCUGUGGCUCUGGUGUAGGCCAGGAGCUACAGCUCCGAUUCAACCCCUAGCCUUGGAACCUCCAUAUGCCGAGGGAGCGGCCCAAGAAAUAGCAACAACAACAACAACAACAAAGACAAAAGACAAAAAAAAAAAAAAA